UUGAACAGUCUCCCGGUUAAAACGUGUUAUUAAACAAAUAAAAACUUAAAACCCGCCAAUCAAACGACUUCAAAGUCAAUACUUAUCCGCCAUAACCGUCACCCAAUUCCUGCAAAUCCGAUCACCAAACCCUAGCUCCACUCCAUGAAAACCACUUCCACCGUCUUCACAACCACACUUCUCCUCUUACUAUGCAUCAAUCCACUGUCAAUCACCGCAGAGGACGACGUCAAGUGUCUCCGAGGCGUUCAGCGAUCACUCGACGAUCCUCAAUCCGAGCUCUCCACGUGGAACUUCUCCAACAGCACCAGAGGAUUCAUCUGCAGCUUCUCCGGCGUUACCUGCUGGAACGAUCAGGAAAACCGCUUAAUCUCCCUCACUUUACGUGAUUUCAGACUCGCCGGAUCGAUUCCGUCGGAUUUGCAGUUUUGUGAGAGCUUACAGAACCUAGAUCUGUCAGGUAAUAACCUCUCUGGAUCUAUUCCUGGUGGAAUUUGUAGCUGGUUGCCUUAUUUAGUUAGGUUAGAUUUGUCGAAUAACGGUUUUACUGGUGAAAUUCCGGCUAGUUUAGGUAAUUGUUCGUUUUUGAAUACAGUUGUGUUGUCUGGAAAUAAGUUGACUGGUGGUAUACCGGCUGAGAUAUCGAAUUUAGGUAGGUUAAGUAUGUUUUCGGUUGCGGAUAAUGAUUUAUCUGGCUCGAUUCCAUCGAGUUUGUCGAAGUUUGAUUCGUCGGAUUUUGAUGGAAAUAGGGGACUUUGUGGUAAGCCGGUUGGAAAGUGUGGUGGUUUGAGUAAGAAGAGUUUGACGAUUAUUGUUGCGGCCGGUGUGGUUGGGGCGGUUGGUUCGUUAUUGUUAGGGUUUGGGAUGUGGUGGUGGUGCUAUGCUAAUAGGAAGAGAAGUGGUGUUGGUGGAGAUGAUGAGAGUAACAGUUGGGCUGAUAAGGUGAGGGCUUAUAAGCUUGUUCAGGUUUCUUUGUUUCAGAAGCCUCUUGUUAAGGUUAGGCUGGUUGAUUUGAUGAUUGCAACGAAUAAUUUUAGUAGAGAGAAUGUUAUAGUAUCGACUCAAACAGGAACAACUUAUAGAGCUGAUCUUUCGGAUGGUUCUACACUUGCGAUUAAGAGGCUUAAUGUUUGUAAGCUUCAUGAGAGGCAGUUUCGUGUGGAGAUGAACAAAUUAGGUCAGCUUAGACAUCCUAAUUUGACUCCUUUGUUGGGUUAUUGCAUUGCAGAAGAUGAGAAACUAUUGGUGUAUAAGUACAUGUCCAAUGGGACUUUAUCAUCGGUUUUACAUAAAAACGGGAACUUGUUAGAUUGGCCUACUAGGUUUAGGAUUGCGGUAAGUGCAGCAAGAGGUCUUGCUUGGCUUCACCAUGGUUGUCGCCCUGCGAUACUACUUCAACAUGUCAGCUCUGAUGUCAUAUUUCUAGAUGAAGAUUAUGAUGCAAGAAUAGUUGAUUUUGGAUUGGCUAGACUCUUGACUUCCUCUUCAGAUGAACCAAAUGAUGAGAUUACUUUUUAUAAUGGCAGUUCGGGUGAGUAUUCAAGCGGCAAUGUUGCUUCUGCGGAAGGCGAUACUUAUGGUUUUGGUGUAGUACUCAUGGAACUGGCAACUGGGCAGAAUCCUCUUAAACCAAUCGCAGCUGAAGAAGGGUUCAAGGGUAAUUUAGUAAACUGGGUAAACCGACUUUCUACAUCAGGACGAAUUGCGGAUGCCAUUGAUAAGAAUCUGUAUGGCAUAGGCCAUGAUGAUGAAAUUAUUCAAGUUCUUCGAAUUGCUGGUAAUUGUGUGGCUUCUCAACCCCAGUCAAGAUGGUCAAUGUAUCGGGUUUCUAAAGCAUUAAUCAACAUAGCUCAAGAACCAGGUGUCUCACAACAUUACGAUGAGUUUCCACUUCUUUUUGACUUAAAGGAUACGGACGAUAUCGUUUAACCUGUGGUGUUGAAGAUGUGUGAAGAAGAUUUGACUGUACAGUCAAACAAACCCAGCCACGCAAACCUUGUGCUAUCUUAUUGUUUUACCAAGUCUUUUAUAAAAAAAGUUGAGGUAUUGGAGCUUCAAUCAUUUUUAAGCACAAAGAGACCAAGAUCAUUUUGGUAGAACCAUGAGCUACUUUAUGUUAAUCCAAAAAAGUAAAAGUGGCGAAGCACAUGAGAAGGGAAAUGAAAAUGAAGGUGAGUGUUUUGUAUUUUGUACAACUCAUGCAUGCAACCUAAAGAAACAAAAGGUACCUUUAAAUUUUGAAUCUUUUUUACUUUAAGAAAUAGAGAAUACUGUUUCUUGAACCAUUCAAAAUCAGAUUCUAAAAACCACAUAAUGAAAACAUAAAAAAAUAAGAUUGGAAAGAAACCAUAAAGAUUAAAUAAGCAUAUGGAGAGUACAAUUGAUGUAUUCUUUCUUAUAUAACUUUUUAUUAAUUAUUAUGAAAAAUAUUAAAAGAUUAUGUCAGCUACUUUUUUUUAUUUGGGCAAUAAAACAGGAUUUAAUUUAUUUAUAAAUUAGUAUUCGUCUUUUGGAAAGACUUUGAGAACCCACCCGUACAUUUUAAACAGGUGUGCACGUCCGGUCACGCCAAAAGACGAGAUUGCCCACGGCCUCUAAUCCCGUGAGCUCCCAAAAAAAUGGUUCUAAGAAAGACCCACAUCUAUGGGCAUAAUGUUGAUGUAAAGCAUAGUGAAUGAAGACCAUAACUUUAAGCUGGUCAUAUCUCUAUUCAAAAGAAAAAAGAAAAGAUUUGUUGAAAGAAGAGAAGCUUUAAAAGAUUGAACAUGCUUUUUUUAGGGAACCCAACCCACUUAACAAGAGGAAUAAAGCCAACCCCUUUUAAAGCUCAAGACUAGCUAAAGCAAAGACCAUAACAAUGCAUCUUUACAUACCACCUACAAAAAAUGUAUGGAAAAGGGCCCCUCAUGACCGAUAAUAAGUAUUUCAUUCAUGUAAAACCAAACAUCCUAAUCAACCAUGAAUCUUUAAAUUCAAACCUUCAAAAAGCUUCUUCAAUCUUCAUGUAAAUUUUACACAACAUUCAUGUGUUAUCAAACACAUGUCAUGUACACAACUUGUCAAACCAAAUACCCUUCUCGUGGUUAUGCUCGAUUAGGAGGUUGUCUCGUAUCUCUUGUUCUCCUGAAA
This is an RNA transcript of Helianthus annuus (common sunflower), 3129 nucleotides long. It is a transcript of the gene named inactive LRR receptor-like serine/threonine-protein kinase BIR2, with no coding region annotated. The record is from RefSeq and is a predicted model, not a curated record. The transcript has 2 exons. Lineage: Eukaryota; Viridiplantae; Streptophyta; Magnoliopsida; Asterales; Asteraceae.